GACGAACGCUGGCGGCGUGCUUAACACAUGCAAGUCGAACGGAAAGGCCCUGCUUUUGUGGGGUGCUCGAGUGGCGAACGGGUGAGUAACACGUGAGUAACCUGCCCUUGACUUUGGGAUAACUUCAGGAAACUGGGGCUAAUACGGGAUAGGAGCUCCUGCUGCAUGGUGGGGGUUGGAAAGUUUCGGCGGUUGGGGAUGGACUCGCGGCUUAUCAGCUUGUUGGUGGGGUAGCGGCUUACCAAGGCUUUGACGGGUAGCCGGCCUGAGAGGGUGACCGGCCACAUUGGGACUGAGAUACGGCCCAGACUCCUACGGGAGGCAGCAGUGGGGAAUAUUGCACAAUGGGCGGAAGCCUGAUGCAGCAACGCCGCGUGCGGGAUGACGGCCUUCGGGUUGUAAACCGCUUUCGCCUGUGACGAAGCGUGAGUGACGGUAAUGGGUAAAGAAGCACCGGCUAACUACGUG
RNAcentral lists this ribosomal RNA (468 nucleotides) under uncultured bacterium. RNAcentral describes it as "partial 16S ribosomal RNA". It matches the Rfam family "Bacterial small subunit ribosomal RNA", at positions 28 to 507 of the family's 1533-position model. The record is from RNAcentral.